Molecule: ribosomal RNA, 422 nt
Filed under: uncultured eukaryote
Lineage: Eukaryota
Description: bacterial SSU rRNA
Rfam family: Eukaryotic small subunit ribosomal RNA
Source: RNAcentral
CAAUAGCGUAUAUUAAAGUUGUUGCGGUUAAAAAGCUCGUAGUUGGAUUUCUGCCGAGGACGACCGGUCCGCCCUCUGGGUGAGUAUCUGGCUUGGCCUGGGCAUCUUCUUGGAGAACGUAGCUGCACUUGACUGUGUGGUGCGGUAUCCAGGACUUUUACUUUGAGGAAAUUAGAGUGUUUCAAGCAGGCAUGCGCCUUGAAUACAUUAGCAUGGAAUAAUAGAAUAGGACUUUGGUCUUAUUUUGUUGGUUUCCGAGACCGAAGUAAUGAUUAAUAGGGACAGUUGGGGGCAUUCGUAUUUCAUUGUCAGAGGUGAAAUUCUUGGAUUUAUGAAAGACGAACUUCUGCGAAAGCAUUUGCCAAGGAUGUUUUCAUUAAUCAAGAACGAAAGUUGGAGGCUCGAAGACGAUCAGAUACCGU